GAGAUACGAUAUUCUUUAAGCUCAU
This 25-nucleotide non-coding RNA is filed under the name Rattus norvegicus (Norway rat). Lineage: Eukaryota; Metazoa; Chordata; Mammalia; Rodentia; Muridae. The record is from RNAcentral.